CCUACGGGGGGCUGCAGUGGGGAAUAUUGCACAAUGGGCGCAAGCCUGAUGCAGCCAUGCCGCGUGUGAAGAAGGCCUUCGGGUUGUGAAGCACUUUCAGCGGGGAGGAAGGCGGUGAGGUUAAUAACCUCAUCGAUUGACGUUACCCGCAGAAGAAGCACCGGCUAACUCCGUGCCAGCAGCCGCGGUAAUACGGAGGGUGCAAGCGUUAAUCGGAAUUACUGGGCGUAAAGCGCACGCAGGCGGUCUGUCAAGUCGGAUGUGAAAUCCCCGGGCUCAACCUGGGAACUGCAUUCGAAACUGGCAGGCUAGAGUCUUGUAGAGGGGGGUAGAAUUCCAGGUGUAGCGGUGAAAUGCGUAGAGAUCUGGAGGAAUACCGGUGGCGAAGGCGGCCCCCUGGACAAAGACUGACGCUCAGGUGCGAAAGCGUGGGGAGCAAACAGGAUUAGAUACCCCGGUAGUC
RNAcentral lists this ribosomal RNA (463 nucleotides) under uncultured Klebsiella sp. RNAcentral's name for it is "bacterial SSU rRNA". It matches the Rfam family "Bacterial small subunit ribosomal RNA", at positions 338 to 795 of the family's 1533-position model. The record is from RNAcentral. Lineage: Bacteria; Pseudomonadati; Pseudomonadota; Gammaproteobacteria; Enterobacterales; Enterobacteriaceae.